Molecule: ribosomal RNA, 1343 nt
Filed under: uncultured bacterium
Lineage: Bacteria
Description: bacterial SSU rRNA
Rfam family: Bacterial small subunit ribosomal RNA
Source: RNAcentral
GAUGAACGCUGGCGGCGUGCCUUAACAGGCAAGUCGAACGAUGAAGCCCAGCUUGCUGGGUGGAUUAGUGGCGAACGGGUGAGUAACACGUGAGCAACCUGCCCUUAACUCUGGGAUAAGCCUGGGAAACUGGGUCUAAUACCGGAUAGGAGCGCCUACCGCAUGGUGGGUGUUGGAAAGAUUUAUCGGUUUUGGAUGGACUCGCGGCCUAUCAGCUUGUUGGUGAGGUAAUGGCUCACCAAGGCGACAACGGGUAGCCGGCCUGAAAGGGUGACCGGCCACACUGGGACUGAGACACGGCCCAGACUCCUACGGGAAGGAGCAGUGGGGAAUAUUGGACAAUGGGGGCCAGCCUGAUAGAGCGACGCCUCGUGAGGGAUGACGGCCUUCAGGUUGUAAACCUCUUUCUGUAGGGAAGAAGCGAAAGUGACAGGACCUGCCGAAUAAGCACCGGCUAACUACGUGCCAUCAGUUUCGGUAAUACGUAGGGUGCGCAGCGGUAGCCGGAAUUAUUGGGCGUAAAGAGCUCGUAGGCGGUUUGUCGCGUCUGUCGUGAAAGUCCGGGGCUUAACCCCGGAUCUGCGGUGGGUACGGGCAGACUAGAGUGCAGUAGGGGAGACUGGAAUUCCUGGUGUAGCGGUGGAAUGCGCAGAUAUCAGGAGGAACACCGAUGGCGAAGGCAGGUCUCUGGGCUGUAACUGACGCUGAGGAGCGAAAGCAUGGGGAGCGAACAGGAUUAGAUACCCUGGUAGUCCAUGCCGUAAACGUUGGGCACUAGGUGUGGGGACCAUUCCACGGUUUCCGCGCCGCAGCUAACGCAUUAAGUGCCCCGCCUGGGGAGUACGGCCGCAAGGCUAAAACUCAAAGGAAUUGACGGGGGCCCGCACAAGCGGCGGAGCAUGCGGAUUAAUUCGAUGCAACGCGAAGAACCUUACCAAGGCUUGACAUGUUCUCGAUCGCCGUAGAGAUACGGUUUCCCCUUUGGGGCGGGUUCACAGGUGGUGCAUGGUUGUCGUCAGCUCGUGUCGUGAGAUGUUGGGUUAAGUCCCGCAACGAGCGCAACCCUCGUUCCAUGUUGCCAGCACGUCGUGGUGGGGACUCAUGGGAGACUGCCGGGGUCAACUCGGAGGAAGGUGAGGACGACGUCAAAUCAUCAUGCCCCUUAUGUCUUGGGCUUCACGCAUGCUACAAUGGCCGGUACAAUGGGUUGCGAUACUGUGAGGUGGAGCUAAUCCCAAAAAGCCGGUCUCAGUUCGGAUUGGGGUCUGCAACUCGACCCCAUGAAGUCGGGGUCGCUAGUAAUCGCAGAUCAGCAACGCUGCGGUGAAUACGUUCCCGGGCCU